CAGCCGCCGCGGUAAUACCAGCCCCGCGAGUGGUCGGGACGGUUAUUGGGCCUAAAGCGCCCGUAGCCGGCCCGGCAAGUCCCUCCUUAAAGCCUCGGGCCCAACCCGAGGACGGGGGGGAUACUGCCGGGCUAGGGGGCGGGAGAGGCCGGCGGUACUCCCGGGGUAGGGGCGAAAUCCGUUAAUCCCGGGAGGACCACCAGUGGCGAAGGCGGCCGGCUGGAACGCGCCCGACGGUGAGGGGCGAAAGCCGGGGGAGCGAACCGGAUUAGAUACCCGGGUAGUCCCGGCGGUAAACGAUGCGGGCUAGCUGUUGGGUGGGCUUAGAGCCCACCCAGUGGCGCAGGGAAGCCGUUAAGCCCGCCGCCUGGGGAGUACGGCCGCAAGGCUGAAACUUAAAGGAAUUGGCGGG
RNAcentral lists this ribosomal RNA (412 nucleotides) under uncultured microorganism. RNAcentral describes it as "bacterial SSU rRNA". It matches the Rfam family "Archaeal small subunit ribosomal RNA", at positions 459 to 872 of the family's 1478-position model. The record is from RNAcentral.